AGACUCUCAGAUCAAAUUUUAUCAAACUGAAAUAUGCUUCCCAAGAGGGAUUGUACCUUCAAUACUUUAAAAUAAAUAAAAUUUACAAAAUUUAAAAUAUAUUAAAUUUAAAUUUUGUAGAAUUUAUUUAUUUUAAAGUCAUAAAAUGCACUGAGGUGCAAUCCCUCCAGAAAAACAAACUUCAGUUUGUAAAACACAUUAGUAAAGAUUCAGCAAUUCAAAGACCACCAGAGCAUAAACUUCGUAACA
RNAcentral lists this long non-coding RNA (249 nucleotides) under Phaseolus vulgaris (common bean). Its description in RNAcentral is "long non-coding RNA (PVUL_LNC002808)". The record is from RNAcentral. Lineage: Eukaryota; Viridiplantae; Streptophyta; Magnoliopsida; Fabales; Fabaceae.